This 1804-nucleotide long non-coding RNA is filed under the name Callithrix jacchus (white-tufted-ear marmoset). RNAcentral's name for it is "lncRNA (ENSCJAG00000084805.1)". Lineage: Eukaryota; Metazoa; Chordata; Mammalia; Primates; Cebidae. The record is from RNAcentral.
AUGAGGCUGUGCAUGGCAAAAAAUGUUAUAUAUUGGGAAGACAGACUUUGGAAAAGGACAACAGGAAGUACAGAUCUGACAAGAUGGCAGAGUUUUGUGAGGGAGGCAAAGGGAGAUCUGACUAUAAAAGAAAGCAGGCAAUGUGACCACGUGAGCAGAGACUGGAGAGAUGCAGCCAUGAGCCAGGGAAUGCUGGCAGCCAUUCGAAGCCAAAAGAGUCCAGAAGCUGACUCUCUCCUGAAGGAACCAGACUCUCUCCUGAAGGAACCAGACUCUCUCCAGAAGAAGGAACCAGACUCUCUCCUGAAGGAACCAGACUCUCUCAGGAAGGAACCAGAUUCUCUCCUGAAGGAACCAGACUCUCUCCGGAAGGAACCAGAUUCUUUCCUGAAGGAACCAGACUCUCUCUGGAAGAAGGAACCAGACUCUCUCCUGAAGGAACCAGGUCUGCCUGAUUGUUGUUGGCAGACCACUUUGACUUUAGCCUUGUAAGACUCAUUUUGGACUUCUGACAUCCAGAAACAUAAGAGAAUAAAUUUUGUGUCAUUUUAAAUCACUACAUUUGGAAUAAUUUGUCACAACAGCAAUAGGAAAUUAAUGCAUCUUUGAUAGUAGAAGGGGAGAAGACACAGGAAUAGUUAAUUUUAAGAGAGGGGGACAGGAAUUUAAGUUGUGGACACCUAAUGGUCUCAACUUUAUUUUGGAUCAGAAAGCCAAGUUAUGUUCUAGGAUAAUGGGGAUAAGCUAGGGAAGUUGAAAGGAAAAGUUCUUGAAAGUAAAUGGCAGAGGCUGCUAAAUUAGCAGAAGAGAAAGAAUUGAUGAGUAACCUUGAUACUGAGAGACUGAAUGUGUUGAAUAGACUUUUGCUGUGGAGUGGUGGAGAUGUUGUGUUGCUUCUCAGCUCUGGGAUUUUCUCCGGCUGUUCCCAGUCACCCCGACAGAAGAGCAAAGAAGGUGACUGUGAGUUAUUUGGGAUUUUGCCAGGUUGCAGGAAUGCAGGAAUAGGUGGUGGAAACACUGAUUCUGGUGACUUUCCUGACUCCACCUUCUACCUUGAGGCAUGUGGGCCUGGAGAAGGGGCAGCUUCCAGUUCCAAGGGUCCCAGGGGACGAGGGGAGGCAGCUCCCUUUCAUGCUGCCAAGUCAGAUCUAAGUUACAAGGGUGGAAAAUAAAGAAUUAUGGUUUGAUAGAAAGGUUGAGGUUAAAAGAAAAUAAGUUUCUGGGGACAUAGUAGAAAUGUGUGAAAGUGAGAACGCUGAGUGCAGAGGAGACAAAUCAUCUUAUGGUGCAAAAUGGUAGUGAGUGAAAUAGGCUCAUGGCUGAGAGGGCUGGUGACUUUGGAGGCAAACACACAUGGCAGAGACGAAAGGCAGCUGGGAUUUGCAGUUUGUCCUAAGGCUCCAAUCAACUUUGGGAUGGGCAUGGGAGAGAUCUCUAGCAGGCAAGUCUGUCACAGUGGACUGGGCCCUGUGAGGUGAAGUGAUGAUGUCCUGAGCGGCUGGAGGGUUUUGACUGGGUCUGGAGUCCAAUCCCCAGUGUGCCCUCUCUCCUAGAGUUCCAGAUGGGGUAAUAAGCUACUCAGAGUUUAUAGCAGAUCCUUGUUCUCUGGGACUUCUUGGCUCAUUGUUUUAGGGGGCUGGGGCUUUGAUUCCACUGUGACCCACAUCCUUUCCUCUGAACAAUGACAGACUCACAUGGUCCAGGCUGUUUUAUGUCUCCAUGCACAUGCUAUUUGCUGAUGCAAGAACAGGUUUUGGCUACCUGUCUGCAUGGUGAUUUCAUCUUUCAAACCCAGCUCACUGCC